CGGCCGCGGCAAGCGACAGGUUCUCCGGUAACGGAGACGAAGAGGGAACGGGAAAACCCCGGCUGCCCCUGCAACUGUACGCGGCGAGCCAUCGGCCACAUGCCAUUGGGACCCCGGUCCCGAGAAGGCGGCCGACCGGCGCUGACCCGCAAGCCAGGAGACCUGCCCGUCGCCGUCGUCUUUCG
RNAcentral lists this non-coding RNA (185 nucleotides) under uncultured Sphingopyxis sp. Lineage: Bacteria; Pseudomonadati; Pseudomonadota; Alphaproteobacteria; Sphingomonadales; Sphingopyxidaceae. The record is from RNAcentral.